UGGGGAAUUUUGGACAAUGGACGCAAGUCUGAUCCAGCCAUGCCGCGUGCGGGAAGAAGGCCUUCGGGUUGUAAACCGCUUUUGUCAGGGAAGAAACGAGUUUCUCUAAUACAGAGACUUAAUGACGGUACCUGAAGAAUAAGCACCGGCUAACUACGUGCCAGCAGCCGCGGUAAUACGUAGGGUGCGAGCGUUAAUCGGAAUUACUGGGCGUAAAGCGUGCGCAGGCGGUUAUAUAAGACAGAUGUGAAAUCCCCGGGCUCAACCUGGGAACUGCAUUUGUGACUGUAUAGCUAGAGUACGGCAGAGGGGGAUGGAAUUCCGCGUGUAGCGGUGAAAUGCUUAGAUAUUACAUGGAAUACCAAUUGCGAAGGCAGGUUACUACUAAUGGAUUGACGCUGAUGGACGAAAGCGUGGGGAGCGAACA
This 427-nucleotide ribosomal RNA is filed under the name uncultured bacterium. Its description in RNAcentral is "bacterial SSU rRNA". It matches the Rfam family "Bacterial small subunit ribosomal RNA", at positions 355 to 774 of the family's 1533-position model. The record is from RNAcentral.